CUACGGGCGGCUGCAGUGGGGAAUAUUGCACAAUGGGCGCAAGCCUGAUGCAGCCAUGCCGCGUGUGUAAAGAAGGCCUUCGGGUUGUAAAGCACUUUCAGCGGGGAGGAAGGCGGUGAGGUUAAUAACCUCAUCGAUUGACGUUACCCGCAGAAGAAGCACCGGCUAACUCCGUGCCAGCAGCCGCGGUAAUACGGAGGGUGCAAGCGUUAAUCGGAAUUACUGGGCGUAAAGCGCACGCAGGCGGUCUGUCAAGUCGGAUGUGAAAUCCCCGGGCUCAACCUGGGAACUGCAUUCGAAACUGGCAGGCUAGAGUCUUGUAGAGGGGGGUAGAAUUCCAGGUGUAGCGGUGAAAUGCGUAGAGAUCUGGAGGAAUACCGGUGGCGAAGGCGGCCCCCUGGACAAAGACUGACGCUCAGGUGCGAAAGCGUGGGGAGCAAACAGGAUUAGAUACCCGUGUAGUC
Molecule: ribosomal RNA, 464 nt
Filed under: uncultured Klebsiella sp.
Lineage: Bacteria; Pseudomonadati; Pseudomonadota; Gammaproteobacteria; Enterobacterales; Enterobacteriaceae
Description: bacterial SSU rRNA
Rfam family: Bacterial small subunit ribosomal RNA
Source: RNAcentral